GGCGGCGCCAGGCGGGUGCGGAUGGUGCCGAAGGCGUCGUAGGCGUAGAGCAGCGCCAGCCCCAGGGCCAGGCUCUGAGGGGUCAAAGGUCACAGGUCACUGCGGGGUCACCGCUGGGUCACGGAGGGGUCAUGGGGUCACAGUGAGGUCACGGUGGGGUCACGGUGGGGUCAUGGGGUCACGCUGGGGCCAAGGGGUCACGGCGGAGUCAUGGCGGGGUCAUGGGGUCACGGUGAGGUCAUGGGGUCACUGUGAGGUCAUGGCGGGGUCAUGGGGUCACAGUGAGGUCAUGGUGGGGUCAGGGGGGUCACGGUGAGGUCAUGGUGGGGUCAUGGGGUCACGCUGAGGUCAUGGUGGGGUCAUGUUGAGGUCAUGGGGUCACUGUGAGGUCACGCUGGGGUCACGGUGGGGUCAUGGGGUCACGCUGGGGCAAAGGGGUCACAGCGGGGUCGUGGGGUCACGGCAAGGUCAUGGUGGGGUCAUGGGGUCACGGUGAGGUCAUGGUGGGGUCAUGGGGUCACAGUGAGGUCAUGGGGGUCACAGUGGGGUUACAUUGAGGUCAGGGGGGUCACAGUGAGGUCACGGUGGGGUCAUGUUGAGGUCAUGGGGUCACGGUGAGGUCAUGGGGGUCACUGUGAGGUCACGGUGGGGUCAUGGGGUGACAGUGGGGUCACGGAGGGGUCACAGUGAGGUCAUGGGGUCACCACGGGUCACCCUGGGGUCACGGGGGUGUCACAGCGGGGUCGAGGGUCACGGUGGGGUCACGCGGGGUCACAUUGAGGUGAAGGGGUCACAAUGAGGUCACGGUGGGGUCGGGGGGGGGUGACGGAGGGUGCGGGGUUACUGGGGGUCAAGGGUGGCGGCGGGGUCAGAGGUCGGAGGUCAGAGGUGACUCACGAAGGUGACGGCGGCCAUGACGCUGCGCGACGCCACGAUGGCCAUCAGCGCCACCACGGCGGCCACCACCGCUCCGCUGCACGAACGCAGCGCCUCCUGCUGGGCAACGGCGGUACUGCAGCACCGCGCCGGGGGGGAAGGGGG
This 1041-nucleotide long non-coding RNA is filed under the name Gallus gallus (chicken). RNAcentral describes it as "lncRNA (ENSGALG00010004091.1)". Lineage: Eukaryota; Metazoa; Chordata; Aves; Galliformes; Phasianidae. The record is from RNAcentral.